UCUGUGGAAAAUCUGCAGACGAGGCAAAACCGAGACAGGCUGGGUAAGGGCCAGGGGCUGGAACCACUGCGGCCGCCAGGCUCUCCGACAGGAAGGGAGAACCCCAGCCAACAUUCCAGCGCUUGGGCCUUUAACUCCCCUGCUCCCACGCCGGGCUGUGUCGUACCCUGCCUCCGGGCUCGCUGCCUCUUGGCCACCCCGUCCUGCCCGGGCUGUGCUACCAGCCCCAGGAGGCUUCGGUCCAGUCAUCAAACCCUUAACGGGACCCGGCUGAUCGGAGUGACCACCCGCUGAGCUGGCUGACGCUGCUGGGGAAGGUCUUAUCCACGAAGCAGCUCUGUGCUGAGCCUCUGUCUGCAGCUUCAGGCCUGCACGUGAACAAAGUAGCCAGCGUGCAAGAGUCCCAGGCCAAUCGUGAACUGGAGCACGAGGCCUGUGAUCCGGGUUUUGAAUGUUGGAGUUGGCCAGGGACUGGGAAGGCGCCUUGCGUGGAGAGCCGAGCUGCUGUUUCGGCCCUUGCCUUACAGGGCUUGCCAGAGCAAAGACUUUGGCAGGAGGCUGUUGGAGAGGAGGGAGGGACGUGAGGCUUGCUCCAAGAGCUCCUGUCGGAAGGUUCUCGAGAGGGAGAAGCGAAGCAGUAAGAAGCGAGAAGUGAGAACAAAGCUGUGAGAUUCCAGGGUUCCUGCUGGGAUCAUUGCUGGGGAAUGACAGGCCUGGAGAGGAAGAUGAUUUAUGGCCACUCAGUUCCCCGGAAAGGUCCAUCUGCUACUAGAAAGUUUUGCUUCGCCACACAACGAGCAGGCUCCGGGAGGGAGCGUAUGAACCUAAUGCUCAUAAAACGGGACCGGAAUGAAGCUCACACUUUAAAUCACUUCCUCUGUUUGCAAAAAUCCAUAAGCAUUUCUCAUUGGGCUCAGGAUCUGCCGUGUACGGAGUGAAGGGUGUAACUGGGACUGGAGAUGGGCAAGGAAUAGAAUAGCGACAGCUGGUGCCGCCUACAGGUGCCAGAAUUCUAUACCCACCCAUCUCCCCUGGCAACAAGUCAAGGUGUUAACUCUGGAACCCUCUAGGUCAUACAGGGUUUUAGCUCAUUGUUUGAGAGACUGUCUCUUGGGACGGCCCUGUCUGGCUUGUGCAUCAGCUGGCCAGUAGAGCUGCUUGGGGGGAAGCAGCAAGAGCAUGAACGGUUUGAAAAUGGCCUCUGUGUGUUGUGUUUCCAAAGGAACGGAUCUGUUUGUGUGUUUGGCUUAUUCUCUGAAAUUUUCCUGCCCUCCCCCCCCCUACACUCCCCGCAUCCAAACACUUCCUCUUUUUUGAAAAUCGUAGGCCUCAAAGGAAACAUCUUGAUCUUUUUAAAUCUUUAAAAGUUUGCUUUGAAAAUGUUUGACUUUGUAAAAGUUAUCAGUGGGAACAGGGUAUCAAGGGACGUAGUGGAUUCUCCAUCUUUGGGUGUCUUUGACUCAGAAUAGGGUGCUUUUUGGAAGAUAUGUACUAACCGAACAAAAGUAAAUGACAGGUCUACCCAACGGGAGGGAGGUGGGGGUGGAAGGGGAACUGGUCCAGGGCCCAGCAAUAUAAAAGGCCCAGAGCUGAAACUAUAGCACCGGGAGUGCUAGCCACUGGGACUGGGGGUGGGGUGCACUGUGAUCUGGUGGCACUGAGGACUGGCUGUCCCCAACCCCGCCCCUUCCAUCCAAGGCCAGGUAGAGCAGGACUCCACACACCCCUCUCCCCACCCCCGGCUUGCCCAGGGCCCGGGCAAGGCUGCCGGUCCCGUAGGUUACUGGGCUCAGAACAGGAGGAACUGGAAGAAAUUUCAGUGUCCUCCAACACAUGGGAUGAGACUAAAUGAUCUAAAGGUCCCUUCAGGCCUGGGUCUCUCUCUGCAAUUCCAUCAGUGGUCAGGCUAAUGUAGGGAUGAGCCGUUUUUCAUAACAAAGACUAAUGCAGAUGUAGCCUUAAUGUGACCCAAAUCCAGCACUGAGCCAGCCGUCUCUAGAUGCUAAGAAUCUACAGGGCCAUCUGCUUUCGCCACACUGCGCUUCUCUGGAUUUAGCUGCUCGGGGAGAGGGAAGCUUUCCGCUCUCUUCAGCAACCUGGUGGCAGCUGUACAAUAUGGGAAAUGCUUCUCUUGUCUUCCCUCAUUAACCUCCCAUACCACUUCGUUGCGGGUGGAUUAGUCUCUCUAGCAGAUAUAUUUAUUGCAUUUUUGUUGCAGGAAGCCAGAAUCUUGGGAAUUUGAGGGAGGCAUUGUCUAGACAAUGCAGGGAGACAAUAAAAAAGAGAAUGUUGACAUUGCUGAGAUUCUAAAGAAGAACCAUGGAGAGAAAUUUUGGAGAAUUUAUGAUUGCCAUUGUCUGGCAAGACCUCACUUGAAGGUUUGAAUUAUGUGUAUAUGGCCUAUGUGAGGACAGAACAGUAUGAAUUCACAAUAGUCUACGUUUGUCCUGCGCUGUGAUUGGAGGAAACCAUCACACGAGCGUUACACUGUCUGAGUUGCCUAAACAAUUGCACAUAAAUGUAUCACACAGAUCUGGGCACCAUUUUUCUGCAUGUGUUCAGGAAUACUACCCAAGAAACAAGAUGACCAAGGCAACAGAAUUGCUGAGCAAUUUGUACCAUGCUUAUUUAUUUUGAAAAUAUCAUUUCAAAAUAGUGGCUAUUUCCUUGAGCCAUCCAAAGCCAUGCAAAAUAUUUCUUUUAAUGUCUAUACCCUAGUGGUAUAAUACUCAAUUUCAGCAUCUUUUCUAACCCUUGGGUAAUAUUGUGCCCUUGCUGUGUGUUUCUAUAGGCAUAUGGGUGUAAUAUAUAGAAACCAGAUGCAGGCCUAUGUAAACUAUAUACUUUCCUUUAGCCACGUUUAUUAUGCAAAUAUCUUAUUUUGAAGAUGUUACAAACUAUAUACAGGUUGAACUUCUCUAGUCUGGCACUGUUGGGACCUGGCCAGUGCUGAACCAGA
Pelodiscus sinensis (Chinese soft-shelled turtle) is the source of this 2959-nucleotide non-coding RNA. The record is from RefSeq and is a predicted model, not a curated record. NCBI's taxonomy places the organism in Eukaryota, Metazoa, Chordata, Testudines, Trionychidae.